Molecule: ribosomal RNA, 434 nt
Filed under: uncultured bacterium
Lineage: Bacteria
Description: partial 16S ribosomal RNA
Rfam family: Bacterial small subunit ribosomal RNA
Source: RNAcentral
AGCGAACGCUGGCGGCAGGCCUAACACAUGCAAGUCGAACGAACCUUUCGGGGUUAGUGGCGGACGGGUGAGUAACACGUGGGAACGUGCCUUUAGGCUCGGAAUAACUCAGGGAAACUUGUGCUAAUACCGAAUGUGUCCUUCGGGGGAAAGAUUUAUCGUCUUUAGAGCGGCCCGCGUCUGAUUAGCUAGUUGGUUGAGGUAAUGGCUCACCAAGGCGACGAUCAGUAGCUGGUCUGAGAGGAUGAUCAGCCACAUUGGGACUGAGACACGGCCCAAACUCCUACGGGAGGCAGCAGUGGGGAAUCUUGCGCAAUGGGCGAAAGCCUGACGCAGCCAUGCCGCGUGAAUGAUGAAGGUCUUAGGAUUGUAAAAUUCUUUCACCGGGGACGAUAAUGACGGUACCCAGAGAAGAAGCCCCGGCUAACUUCGUG